GAUGAACGCUGGCGGCGUGCCUAAUACAUGCAAGUCGAGCGAACGGACGAGAAGCUUGCUUUUCUGAUGUUAGCGGCGGACGGGUGAGUAACACGUGGAUAACCUACCUAUAAGACUGGGAUAACUUCGGGAAACCGGAGCUAAUACCGGAUAAUAUUUUGAACCGCAUGGUUCAAAAGUGAAAGACGGUCUUGCUGUCACUUAUAGAUGGAUCCGCGCUGCAUUAGCUAGUUGGUAAGGUAACGGCUUACCAAGGCAACGAUGCAUAGCCGACCUGAGAGGGUGAUCGGCCACACUGGAACUGAGACACGGGCCAGACUCCUACGGGAGGCAGCAGUAGGGAAUAUUCCGCAAUGGGCGAAAGCCUGACGGAGCAACGCCGCGUGAGUGAUGAAGGUCUUCGGAUCGUAAAACUCUGUUAUUAGGAAAGAACAUAUGUGUAAGUAACUGUGAACAUCUUGACGGUACCUAAUCAGAAAGCCACGGCUAACUACGUG
This 497-nucleotide ribosomal RNA is filed under the name uncultured bacterium. RNAcentral describes it as "partial 16S ribosomal RNA". It matches the Rfam family "Bacterial small subunit ribosomal RNA", at positions 28 to 507 of the family's 1533-position model. The record is from RNAcentral.